RNAcentral lists this ribosomal RNA (330 nucleotides) under Triticum aestivum (bread wheat). RNAcentral describes it as "partial small subunit ribosomal RNA". Lineage: Eukaryota; Viridiplantae; Streptophyta; Magnoliopsida; Poales; Poaceae. The record is from RNAcentral.
AUGCUUCCGAUGUGUUCAUUCAACGUCCUUGGGCUCCUCUUCUUCGGCACCCAGAUGAGGCGCGAUGGCGACACCCAGGAAUGCCAAGAUAUUCGCAGUGGGAAACGUUAUGUAGAUCCACCGUUUGUUGGAAGGAAUGUUCGGCCUGCACUAGAAGAAUUGAUUGAUCCUUGUCUUGUUGCUGUUAGAGUUGCAUCUGAUGUGGAAGUUCUGUAUCGUCCGAAUUUCAUUACUGGUUGGUUGUCUGGUUCCUCGCGUGGAUCGACUCCUUCUGGCUCACGCCCAGUAUGGUGGAUAUGUGGUGGCCGUUGCAGUCGUACGUCCCCGUGA